Molecule: ribosomal RNA, 1974 nt
Filed under: human gut metagenome
Description: bacterial LSU rRNA
Rfam family: Bacterial large subunit ribosomal RNA
Source: RNAcentral
UUAAGCGACUAAGCGUACACGGUGGAUGCCCUGGCAGUCAGAGGCGAUGAAGGACGUGCUAAUCUGCGAAAAGCGUCGGUAAGGUGAUAUGAACCGUUAUAGCCGGCGAUGUCCGAAUGGGGAAACCCAGUGCAAUUCGUUGCACUAUCGUUAACUGAAUACAUAGGUUAACGAGGCGAACCGGGGGAACUGAAACAUCUAAGUACCCCGAGGAAAAGAAAUCAACCGAGAUUCCCCCAGUAGCGGCGAGCGAACGGGGAGCAGCCCAGAGUCUGAAUCAGCUUGUGUGUUAGUGGAACGGUCUGGAAAGUCCGACGGUACAGGGUGAUAGUCCCGUACACCAAAAUGCACAGGUUGUGAACUCGAAGAGUAGGGCGGGACACGUGGUAUCCUGUCUGAAUAUGGGGGGACCAUCCUCCAAGGCUAAAUACUCCUGACUGACCGAUAGUGAACCAGUACCGUGAGGGAAAGGCGAAAAGAACCCCGGCGAGGGGAGUGAAAAAGAACCUGAAACCGUGUACGUACAAGCAGUGGGAGCACCUUCGGGUGUGACUGCGUACCUUUUGUAUAAUGGGUCAGCGACUUAUAUUCUGUAGCAAGGUUAACCGUAUAGGGGAGCCGCAGGGAAACCGAGUCUUAACUGGGCGUUAAGUUGCAGGGUAUAGACCCGAAACCCGGUGAUCUAGCCAUGGGCAGGUUGAAGGUUGGGUAACACUAACUGGAGGACCGAACCGACUAAUGUUGAAAAAUUAGCGGAUGACUUGUGGCUGGGGGUGAAAGGCCAAUCAAACCGGGAGAUAGCUGGUUCUCCCCGAAAGCUAUUUAGGUAGCGCCUCGUGAACUCAUCUUCGGGGGUAGAGCACUGUUUCGGCUAGGGGGUCAUCCCGACUUACCAACCCGAUGCAAACUACGAAUACCGAAGAAUGUUAUCACGGGAGACACACGGCGGGUGCUAACGUCCGUCGUGAAGAGGGAAACAACCCAGACCGCCAGCUAAGGUCCCAAAGUCAUGGUUAAGUGGGAAACGAUGUGGGAAGGCACAGACAGCCAGGAUGUUGGCUUAGAAGCAGCCAUCAUUUAAAGAAAGCGUAAUAGCUCACUGGUCGAGUCGGCCUGCGCGGAAGAUGUAACGGGGCUAAACCAUGCACCGAAGCUGCGGCAGCGACACUAUGUGUUGUUGGGUAGGGGAGCGUUCUGUAAGCCUGCGAAGGUGUGCUGUGAGGCAUGCUGGAGGUAUCAGAAGUGCGAAUGCUGACAUAAGUAACGAUAAAGCGGGUGAAAAGCCCGCUCGCCGGAAGACCAAGGGUUCCUGUCCAACGUUAAUCGGGGCAGGGUGAGUCGACCCCUAAGGCGAGGCCGAAAGGCGUAGUCGAUGGGAAACAGGUUAAUAUUCCUGUACUUGGUGUUACUGCGAAGGGGGGACGGAGAAGGCUAUGUUAGCCGGGCGACGGUUGUCCCGGUUUAAGCAUGUAGGCUGGUUGUCCAGGCAAAUCCGGAUAAUCAAGGCUGAGGUGUGAUGACGAGGCACUACGGUGCUGAAGUAACAAAUGCCCUGCUUCCAGGAAAAGCCUCUAAGCAUCAGGUAACAUCAAAUCGUACCCCAAACCGACACAGGUGGUCAGGUAGAGAAUACCAAGGCGCUUGAGAGAACUCGGGUGAAGGAACUAGGCAAAAUGGUGCCGUAACUUCGGGAGAAGGCACGCUGGUGUGUAGGUGAAGCCCCUGCGGGUGGAGCUGAGACCAGUCGAAGAUACCAGCUGGCUGCAACUGUUUAUUAAAAACACAGCACUGUGCAAACACGAAAGUGGACGUAUACGGUGUGACGCCUGCCCGGUGCCGGAAGGUUAAUUGAUGGGGUUAUCCGUAAGGAGAAGCUCUUGAUCGAAGCCCCGGUAAACGGCGGCCGUAACUAUAACGGUCCUAAGGUAGCGAAAUUCCUUGUCGGGUAAGUUCCGACCUGCACGAAUGGCGUAA